UGUCAAUCAGGCUAGAGUGACUCACACCCACGGUACUGUAUAAAUUUAUCCAGCGUAGCUGAAAAAGCUUAUUAGGGGUUGGCUGUUCAUUUUCUCUGAAUGAACCAUUUCUACCUACAUACACUGCGGGUCCCCUUACAUUGACGUCGCCAUUAGCAGCGCCAUGUUUCUACAGUAACCCAGAUGGACAAAUGGCGCUACAGAGGAAGAAGAAAAAGGAGAAGAACAACAGGAAAAGGCGAAUAGAGGGAAGACCAAGGGAGUUGUCAGACCAUCUCACCCCCUCUGUGAAUCUACAUCUGUUGCAGUCUGAAAGACAGCUGUUCCUAUGGGGAGAGGCAGCAGGCAGAUAGAGCCCCUCCGGUCACCCUCCACGCCUCCCUACACACUUUCUUCAUCCAUCCAUCAACCAUCAUCCUCACUGGUAUCGUUCCUUUAGCUUCCGCCUGUUCCCUUGUACUGACUCUCACAGCCUUUGUUUCCCACUACAUUACUUCCCAUUUACAAUGUAAAUACUGCAAGAUACUACUCAAGAAAGGAUGGCAGUGUCUAUAAGCAGCAGAUGUGCGCUCUUUAUGGAAACUGAGGAAAGGCUUUUUAUAUUUGGUAAGCCUGCAGCAUCAUUUCAGACCGAGUGCACAAUAUAGUUUGCCAUUACCCUGAUAAACCCAAAUGAAGCAUACUCCCUACUAAAUCUCUUCAGUAGGAGAGGAAGAGGUAAAAGAAAGGGAUUACUAAACAGAGAGUCCUGAAGCCUUGCACAAUUAAGAUGUGGAGAUUGUUAAAGUGAAAUGCAGUUUAAUAUUAUAUCAGCAAGUUCAUCCUCAUGUUAUGCACAUUCAGCAGCACCCUUUUUAUUAAUGAAACCAAUUGUGCAUAACUCUUCAGAUUUUGGCAUAAUAGUAAAGAUUUUA
Molecule: long non-coding RNA, 914 nt
Organism: Micropterus dolomieu (smallmouth bass)
Lineage: Eukaryota; Metazoa; Chordata; Actinopteri; Centrarchiformes; Centrarchidae
Exons: 3
Source: RefSeq, a predicted model, not a curated record